This 252-nucleotide ribosomal RNA is filed under the name uncultured Bacteroidales bacterium. RNAcentral's name for it is "partial 16S ribosomal RNA". It matches the Rfam family "Bacterial small subunit ribosomal RNA", at positions 524 to 776 of the family's 1533-position model. Lineage: Bacteria; Pseudomonadati; Bacteroidota; Bacteroidia; Bacteroidales. The record is from RNAcentral.
UACGGAGGAUGCGAGCGUUAUCCGGAUUUAUUGGGUUUAAAGGGUGCGUAGGUUGUUUUUUAAGUCAGCGGUGAAAGUUUGUGGCUCAACCCCAUCCAGCCGUUGAAACUGGGGAUCUAGAGUGUGCGAGAGGUAUGCGGAAUGCGUGGUGUAGCGGUGAAAUGCAUAGAUAUCACGCAGAACCCCGAUUGCGAAGGCAGCAUACCGGUGCACAACUGACGCUCAGGCACGAAAGCGUGGGUAUCGAACAGG